Molecule: transfer RNA, 74 nt
Filed under: gamma proteobacterium BDW918
Lineage: Bacteria; Pseudomonadati; Pseudomonadota; Gammaproteobacteria; Cellvibrionales; Spongiibacteraceae
Also listed under: 2 other names
Rfam family: tRNA
About the family: Transfer RNA (tRNA) molecules are approximately 80 nucleotides in length. Their secondary structure includes four short double-helical elements and three loops (D, anti-codon, and T loops).
Source: Rfam by way of RNAcentral
GCGCCCGUAGCUCAGCUGGAUAGAGCGCUGCCCUCCGGAGGCAGAGGUCAGAGGUUCGAAUCCUCUCGGGCGCA